RNAcentral lists this ribosomal RNA (441 nucleotides) under uncultured bacterium. Its description in RNAcentral is "partial 16S ribosomal RNA". It matches the Rfam family "Bacterial small subunit ribosomal RNA", at positions 338 to 795 of the family's 1533-position model. The record is from RNAcentral.
CCUACGGGUGGCAGCAGUGGGGGAUAUUGCACAAUGGGGGAAACCCUGAUGCAGCGACGCCGCGUGUGGGAAGACGGUCCUCUGGAUUGUAAACCACUGUCCCCAGGGACGAAAAUGACGGUACCUGAAGAAGAAGCCCCGGCUAACUACGUGCCAGCAGCCGCGGUAAUACGUAGGGGGCAAGCGUUAUCCGGAUUUACUGGGUGUAAAGGGGGCGCAGACGGCGAUGUAAGCCAGGAGUGAAAGCCCGGGGCCCAACCCCGGGACUGCUCUUGGAACUGCGUGGCUAGAGUGCAGGAGGGGCAGGCGGAAUUCCUGGUGUAGCGGUGAAAUGCGUAGAUAUCAGGAGGAACACCGGUGGCGAAGGCGGCCUGCUGGACUGCAACUGACGUUGAGGCCCGAAAGCGUGGGGAGCAAACAGGAUUAGAUACCCCUGUAGUC